Molecule: ribosomal RNA, 253 nt
Filed under: uncultured bacterium
Lineage: Bacteria
Description: partial 16S ribosomal RNA
Rfam family: Bacterial small subunit ribosomal RNA
Source: RNAcentral
GACGUAGGAGGCGAGCGUUAUCCGGAUUCACUGGGCGUAAAGCGCAUGUAGGCGGUUUGGUAAGUCCGUUGUUAAAGCCCCCGGCUCAACUGGGGGAGGUCAAUGGAGACUCCCAGACUUGAGGGCAACAGAGGCACAUGGAAUUCCUGGUGUAGCGGUGAAAUGCGCAGAUAUCAGGAGGAACACCAAUUGCGAAGGCAGCUCGCUGGGACGUUACUGACGCUGAGACGCGAAAGCGUGGGGAGCAAACAGG